Pogona vitticeps (central bearded dragon) is the source of this 162-nucleotide non-coding RNA. The record is from RefSeq and is a predicted model, not a curated record. Lineage: Eukaryota; Metazoa; Chordata; Lepidosauria; Squamata; Agamidae.
GUGAAACAGGAGAGCCUGGCCAACCUGGUAUUGUGGGUGAGAGGGGUGAAGCUGGCUUGCCAGGCCCACCUGGGUUGCCAGGAAUGAGAGGAGAAAAAGGAGAUCAGGGAGAAAAAGGAAGAGCUGGACUGCCUGGCUUCAAAGGGGAAAGAGGUGACAAGG